AGAGUUUGAUCCUGGCUCAGGACGAACGCUGGCGGCGUGCCUCAUACAUGCAAGUGGAGCGACGAACCAGGGCUUGCCCUGGAGCAAAGCCGCGAACGGGUGAGUAACACGUGGGUAACCUGCCCCGAAGACCGGGACAACCCGAGGAAACUCGGGCUAAUACCGGAUGUGCUCGCCGCGCUCAAGCGCGACGCGUAAAGGAAGCUUCGGCCUCCGCUUUGGGAGGGGCCCGUGGCCCAUUAGCUUGUUGGUGAGGUAACGGCUCACCAAGGCUGCGAUGGGUAGCUGGUCUAAGAGGACGGUCAGCCACACUGGGACUGAGACACGGCCCAGACUCCUACGGGAGGCAGCAGUAGGGAAUCUUGCGCAAUGCGCGAAAGCGUGACGCAGCAACGCCGCGUGGGGGAAGAAGGCCUUCGGGUUGUAAACCC
This 431-nucleotide ribosomal RNA is filed under the name uncultured Actinomycetes bacterium. Its description in RNAcentral is "bacterial SSU rRNA". It matches the Rfam family "Bacterial small subunit ribosomal RNA", at positions 8 to 432 of the family's 1533-position model. The record is from RNAcentral. Lineage: Bacteria; Bacillati; Actinomycetota; Actinomycetes.